Molecule: ribosomal RNA, 459 nt
Filed under: marine sediment bacterium ISA-1327
Lineage: Bacteria
Description: bacterial SSU rRNA
Rfam family: Bacterial small subunit ribosomal RNA
Source: RNAcentral
UGGCGGCAGGCCUAACACAUGCAAGUCGAGCGGUAACAGAAAGUAGCUUGCUACUUUGCUGACGAGCGGCGGACGGGUGAGUAAUGCUUGGGAACAUGCCUUGAGGUGGGGGACAACAGUUGGAAACGACUGCUAAUACCGCAUAAUGUCUACGGACCAAAGGGGGCUUCGGCUCUCGCCUUUAGAUUGGCCCAAGUGGGAUUAGCUAGUUGGUGAGGUAAUGGCUCACCAAGGCGACGAUCCCUAGCUGGUUUGAGAGGAUGAUCAGCCACACUGGGACUGAGACACGGCCCAGACUCCUACGGGAGGCAGCAGUGGGGAAUAUUGCACAAUGGGCGCAAGCCUGAUGCAGCCAUGCCGCGUGUGUGAAGAAGGCCUUCGGGUUGUAAAGCACUUUCAGUCAGGAGGAAAGGUUAGUAGUUAAUACCUGCUAGCUGUGACGUUACUGACAGAAGAAGC